AGAAUCAACGCUGGCGGCGUGCCUAACACAUGCAAGUCGCACGAGAAAGGGACUUCGGUCCUGAGUACAGUGGCGCACGGGUGAGUAACACGUGAAUCAUCUAACUUCGAGUGGGGAAUAACUGAGAGAAAUCUGGGCUAAUACCGCAUAACACUUACGAGUCAAAGCAGCAAUGCGCUUGGAGAGGAGUUCGCGGCAGAUUAGUUAGUUGGCGGGGUAAUGGCCCACCAAGACGAUGAUCUGUA
RNAcentral lists this ribosomal RNA (245 nucleotides) under uncultured bacterium. RNAcentral describes it as "partial small subunit ribosomal RNA". It matches the Rfam family "Bacterial small subunit ribosomal RNA", at positions 26 to 285 of the family's 1533-position model. The record is from RNAcentral.